UACGUAGGGCGCAGGCGUUGUCCGGAAUUAUUGGGCGUAAAGAGCUCGUAGGCGGCUUGUCACGUCGGGUGUGAAAGCCCGGGGCUUAACCCCGGGUCUGCAUUCGAUACGGUCUGGCUGGAGUGUGGUAGGGGAGAUCGGAAUUCCUGGUGUAGCGGUGAAAUGCGCAGAUAUCAGGAGGAACACCGGUGGCGAAGGCGGGUCUCUGGGCCGAUACUGACGCUGAGGAGCGAAAGCGUGGGGAGCGAACAGG
This 253-nucleotide ribosomal RNA is filed under the name uncultured bacterium. Its description in RNAcentral is "partial 16S ribosomal RNA". It matches the Rfam family "Bacterial small subunit ribosomal RNA", at positions 524 to 776 of the family's 1533-position model. The record is from RNAcentral.